GAUGAACGCUGACAGAAUGCUUAACACAUGCAAGUCAACUUGAAUUUGGGUUUUUUAACUUAGAUUUGGGUGGCGGACGGGUGAGUAACGCGUAAAGAACUUGCCUCACAGCUAGGGACAACAUUUGGAAACGAAUGCUAAUACCUGAUAUUAUGAUUAUAAGGCAUCUUAGAAUUAUGAAAGCUAUAUGCGCUGUGAGAGAGCUUUGCGUCCCAUUAGCUAGUUGGAGAGGUAACGGCUCACCAAGGCGAUGAUGGGUAGCCGGCCUGAGAGGGUGAACGGCCACAAGAGGACUGAGACACGGCCCUUACUCCUACGGGAGGCAGCAGUGGGGAAUAUUGGACAAUGGACCAAGAGUCUGAUCCAGCAAUUCUGUGUGCACGAUGACGUUUUUCGGAAUGUAAAGUGCUUUCAGUUGGGAAGAAAAAAAUGACGGUACCAACAGAAGAAGGACGGCUA
Molecule: ribosomal RNA, 459 nt
Filed under: Fusobacterium sp. oral taxon A11
Lineage: Bacteria; Fusobacteriati; Fusobacteriota; Fusobacteriia; Fusobacteriales; Fusobacteriaceae
Description: bacterial SSU rRNA
Rfam family: Bacterial small subunit ribosomal RNA
Source: RNAcentral